ACAAUGGGCUGAGCCUCCCGAGGGCCUCCUGCUCACCGCGUUGGGCUCUGCGCGCAAGCGCGCGUCCGUUGCGGGCGGGGUGUACCUGUGGUCUCCUGCCUGUCCCCGUGUGGUCGCGCGUUGAGGUCGGCUGCCUGGUGAGCGUGGGCGGCCGGAGGCCGCGAGAAGGGGCGCGGGGCGGGGACACAGGCACUGCCGCCUGGGAUGCGUCCCUGACUCGGGAGACCCCCUGAGGGCCGCGUUCGGGGAAGAUGCCGCGCCGGCUGCGGCGUCUCCAUUCUCCUAACCGCCGAGGCUGCCCAAGCGCGGCGCAGAGGACAGAGCGACUCACUGCCGGCCCCCGCAUCCCAGCGAGAAGUGUGCUGGCCAAGGACCCAUGUCAUUCAAGGACAUGACUGUGGACUUCACCCGGGAUGAGUGCUGACAACUGACGGGUAUCAGAGGAUGCUAUACUGGGAUGUGAUGCUGGAGAGCUACAGCCACUUAGUCUCUGUGGGGUACUGCACUGCCAAACCAGAGGUGAUCAUCAAGCUGGAGCAAGGAGAAGAGCUGUGGCCAUUAGAAUUCCCAGGCUGGAGUGGUCCCGACAAAGGCCACUCAGUCAUGUCUGGCUCUUUGCAACCCCACUGACUAGUCUGCCAGGCUCCUCUGUCCAUGAGAUUCUCCAGGCAAGAAUUCCGGAGUGGAUUGCUAUAACCUUCUCCAGAGGAUCUUCCCAACCCAGGGAUUGAACCCUGAUCUCCUGCACUGCAGACAGAUUCUUUACCAUUUGAGCUACAGGAAAGUGCUAAAUCUCAUCCCACCAUUGCUGGGUGGACAGAAUGAUCUCUGUUCGCUUCCAAGGCAAACCAUUCAAUAUCACAUGAAUCCAAGUCUAUGCCCCAACCAAUAAUGCUGAAGAAGCUGAAUUUGAACAGUUCUAUGAAGACCUACAAGACCUUUUAGAACUCACACCCAAAAAAGAUGUCCUUUUCAUUAUAGGGGACUGGAAUGCAAAAGUAGGAAGUCAAGAGAUACCUGGAAUAACAGUCAAAUUUGUCUUUGGAAUACAGAAUGAAGCAGGGCAAAGGCUAACAGAGUUUUGUGAAGAGAACGCAUUGGUCAUAGCAAACACCCUCUUCCAAAAACACAAGAGAAGACUACACAUCACCAGAUCAGACUGAUUAUAUUCUUUGCAGCCAAAGAUGAAGCUCUAUACAGUCAGCAAAAACAAGACUGGGAGCUGACUGUGGCUCAGAUCAUGAACUCCUUAUUUCCAAAUUCAGACUUAAAUUGCAGAAAGUAGGGAAAACCACUAGACCAUUCAGGUAUGACCUAAAUCAAAUCCCUUAUGAUUAUACAAUGGAAGUGACAAACAGAUUCAAGGGAUUAGAUCUGAUAGAGUGCCUGAUGAACUAUGGAUGGAGGUUCGUGACAUUGUACAGGAGGCAGGGAUCAAGACCAUCCCCAAGAAAAAGAAAUGCAAAAAGGCAAAAUGGUUGUCUGAGGAGGCCUUACAAAUAGCUGAGAAAAGAAGAGAAGCAAAAGGCAAAGAAGAAAAAGAAAGAUAUGCCCUUGCUGCUGCCAAGUCACUUCAGUCGUGUCUGACUCUGUGCGACCCCAUGGACUGCAGCCUACCAGGCUUCUCCGUCCAUGGGAUUCUCCAGGCAAGAAUACUGGAGUGGGCUGCCAUUUCCUUCUGCAGUGCAUGAAAGUGGAAAGUGAAAGUGAAGUCACUCAGUCGUGUCUGACUCUUAGUGACCCCAUGGACUGCAGCCCACCAGGCUCCUCCAUCCAUGGGAUUUUCCGGGCAACAGUACUGGCGUGGGGUGCCAUUGCCUUCUCCCAUACCCUUGCUAUAUCUUGCUAUUCUUUGAAUGCAGAGCUCCAAAGAAUAGCAAGGAGAGGUAAGAAAGCCUUCCUCAGAGAUCAACGCAAAGAAAUAAGAGGAAAAAAUAGAAAAGACUAGAGGUCUCUUCAAGAAAAUUAGAGAUAUCAAGGGAACAUUUCAUGCAAAGAUGGGCACAAUAAAAGACAAAUGGUAUGGACCUAAAAGAAACAGAAGAUGUUAAGAGGUGGCAAGAAUAUACAGAAGAACUAUACAAAAAAGAUCUUCAUGACCCAGAUAACCACAGUGGUGUGAUCAUUCACCUAGAGUCAGACAUCCUGGAAUGCAAAGUGGGCCUUAGGAAGCAUCACUAUGAAAAAGCUAGUGGAGGGGAUGGAAUUCCAUUUGGGCUAUCUCAAAUCCUAAAAUAUGAUGCUGUGAAAGUGCUACACUCAGUAUGCCAGCAAAUUUGGAAAGCUCAAUAGUGGCCACAGGACUGGAAAAGGUCAGUUUUCAUUCCAAUCCCAAAGAAAGGCAGUGCCAAAGAAUGUUCAAAUGAUCGCACAACUGCACUCAUCUCACACGCUAGCAAAGUAAUGCUCAAAAUGCUCCAAGCCAGGCGUCAACAAUAUGUCAACUGUGAACUUCCAGAUGUUCAAGCUGGAUUUACAAAAGGCAGAGGAACCAGAGAUCAAAUUGCCAACAUUCGCUGGAUU
Molecule: long non-coding RNA, 2523 nt
Organism: Bos taurus (domestic cattle)
Lineage: Eukaryota; Metazoa; Chordata; Mammalia; Artiodactyla; Bovidae
Source: Ensembl